UACGUAGGGCGCAAGCGUUGUCCGGAAUUAUUGGGCGUAAAGAGCUCGUAGGUGGUCUGUUGCGUCCGCUGUGAAAACCCAGGGCUUAACCCCGGGCGUGCAGUGGAUACGGGCAGGCUGGAGGCAGGCAGGGGAGAAUGGAAUUCCCGGUGUAGCGGUGAAAUGCGCAGAUAUCGGGAGGAACACCGGUGGCGAAGGCGGUUCUCUGGGCCUGUUCUGACGCUGAGGAGCGAAAGCGUGGGGAGCGAACAGG
RNAcentral lists this ribosomal RNA (253 nucleotides) under uncultured bacterium. Its description in RNAcentral is "partial 16S ribosomal RNA". It matches the Rfam family "Bacterial small subunit ribosomal RNA", at positions 524 to 776 of the family's 1533-position model. The record is from RNAcentral.